GAAGUAAGCCGAUCAAUUGCAGGAAACUGAGGAAAGUCCGCGCUCCACAGAGCAAGGAUGCCAGCUAACGGCUGGUGGGGGCGACCCUAAGGCUAGUGCAACAGAGAUAUACCGCCUGAUAAUAUUUUAUUGGGUAAGGGUGGAAAGGUGAGGUAAGAGCUUACCAGCUUGGCAGAGAUGUCAAGGCUAUGUAAACCCCAUUCGGAGCAAAACCAAAUAGGAUUAAGAGUGGCUGCUCGUCACUCCCGGUAGGUAGGUUGCUAGAACUUAUUGGCGACAAUAAGUCAAGACAGAUAAUUGAUUAAUACAGAACGCGGCUUAUAGGCUUACUUCGGAC
This is a non-coding RNA of Clostridiales bacterium KA00134, 337 nucleotides long. It matches the Rfam family "Bacterial RNase P class A". Rfam says of the family: Ribonuclease P (RNase P) is a ubiquitous endoribonuclease, found in archaea, bacteria and eukarya as well as chloroplasts and mitochondria. Its best characterised activity is the generation of mature 5'-ends of tRNAs by cleaving the 5'-leader elements of precursor-tRNAs. Cellular RNase Ps are ribonucleoproteins. The record is from Rfam. Lineage: Bacteria; Bacillati; Bacillota; Clostridia; Eubacteriales.